CCUCAUGUGGAAUCUUUAGCU
RNAcentral lists this microRNA (21 nucleotides) under Bos taurus (domestic cattle). RNAcentral describes it as "bta-miR-12002b". The record is from miRBase by way of RNAcentral. Lineage: Eukaryota; Metazoa; Chordata; Mammalia; Artiodactyla; Bovidae.